Long non-coding RNA from Bubalus bubalis (water buffalo), 2002 nucleotides. RefSeq lists it as uncharacterized. The record is from RefSeq and is a predicted model, not a curated record. The transcript has 2 exons. Lineage: Eukaryota; Metazoa; Chordata; Mammalia; Artiodactyla; Bovidae.
UCUACCAGGCUCCUCCAUCCAUGGGAUUUUCCAGGCAAAAGUACUGGAGUGGGGUGCCAUUGCCUUCUCCGCCUAUCCACCCUUAGGUAGGCAGAAUGAAGGAGAUCCCGAAAUGUCUUCGUCCCUUGUUCUGUGAAUAUGUCAGGAUACAAGUAGAAGGAGAUUUAAGGUGGCAGGUAAAGUUAAUGUUGCUAAUUAGCUGACCUUUAGGUGGGGCUCAUAGCCUGGAUUUUCCAGGUGAGACCAAUGUAAUCACCGGAGUCUUUAUAUAGAGGAAGGCAGAGGGAGAGAGGUAAGAGAGAGAGGCAGCGCGGUGGUCAAGGCUCGAUCGGCUCGUGCUGGUUUUGAGGGUGGAAAAAGAAAGUGAAGGGCAUGGAUUCUCUUCCAGAGCCUCCAGCGGGAAGGAUGUCCUGUCUACACUGAUCUCCCUGUAAAAACAAAUUGGCCUGUCUGUUUGAAAUACAGUGCAAAGAUGGUGACUCUUAGACCUCCCAGCCAGAGUGUAUCCUACUCACUUGUCAGAGGACCAGACUGGGACACAAGAAGCCAGCCCCCCUGCACAGCCCAGGAUUGCCAGGGGAAUGGCAUUGGGAAGAGCAAGCUGAAUGCCAUGCCACAUGCUGUGACAGGGCCAUCAGCCUAAGCCUGAGACCUGUGUGGUCACUGAUCAAAGCCAAGGGAAGAUGCCAGUGUUGUCUAACUCCCUCCUUGUGGAAGAUGAGAAAAGUAAUGAAAUCCAACACCAUGGGGCUUAAGAGAAUAUAUUGCAGAGCAGACUGGAGGAAGUGGAAUCUGUGUGACUCAGAAGAAAACACACUUCUAUACAUGGUUUCCUACAGAGCACAUAGAACACUUUAGAAAGCAACUUGACAUCCUUGGUACGUUGCUGGGGACAGCGUGGUCCUGGGUUGAGAGAAACAGAAAGCCAGAUUGUGGUAAAAAUACAGUUAGGAAACAGAAGAUGAGUGAGUAAAGCAGUGCUGACGUGGUGAGAGCAGAAUUAAAGUGCUUACCUGGCAGGAAUCCUGGGGCCAGAGGUACUCCCUGGGGUGUCUCCAGGAAUUGGAUGGUGGUUAUUCACUUGAAAACAGGGCUUUGUCAUAUUGCUCUGGUUUCUUUCUAAUCACAAUGUUUGCUUUAAUUUAAAUUUAAAAUAACAUUUAGUCUUCUGGACUGUAACAUUUAUUUUGUUUAGCACAGUAUUCCCAGUGUCCAGCACCAUGCCCAGAUGUUGUCAGAAUCCUGUAACUGUGUGUUCAAUCAAUCACUGAAUGAUGAUUUUAUACUCGUCAAAGUGGGACUGAUGGGACUGGUCAAUUUGAGUCUACUGCUAAUCCCAAUGCUUGUUAGCUAUGUGGCCUUGAGCAAAAUGACCUCUUUGUGCAUCAAAUUUUCUCAUUUGUAAAACAGUGAUUAUAACAAUAUCUUCUGAGUUUUGUGAGGUUUUUACAGAGAUAAGGCAUGUAAGGUAUUUACCCUAAUGCUUUUACAGAUAAGUGCAGAAUAAAUGUUAGCAAUUGUCAUUAUAUUAAAACAGCAACAGCAAAAGAGAACCAUGUAUAAAAUGAAGAUGAUUUGUUGUUCCAGUCAAAAUAACAAAAGGAGUUUCACCUCCUUAGACAAGCUCUGUUAAGAUAGUUAAUUAUAUAUCCUUUUAGAAAAUCAAAGACAUGUUACAAAAUGGUAAGUUUCUCACAAAGAUAAAACCGUUUGACAAAGAAGUUCAGAUUUCUCUGUGAAUUUAAGUGCUAGGAGAAAAAGAAUCAAUACAUUUAAGUUUCAGGGAAAAUGGUGGUGACCCAAGUAUUUAAUUCAUAGGGAGCAAUCAGAGAUGAAAUGAGGGUGAUAACGCAGUACACAAAGAAACAUGAUUCAGUACUUGCAAAUAGGCAAAAUGAUGCCUGUGUCAGGCCCUUCAGUGAAUUGCUGAACCUAGUCUAGGGAACCCUCCUGGAGUUCCUAGGUGAUGUAAGGGAUUAUAUAAGGAUGUGUAUUUAAGUGA